GCUACAGCGAGGCUAAGCUAGUGGGGGCAAAGUUUCAGUGCAUUCCGUUGAUGUAGACGGCGUGAAAACGGAAACAACAAGUAUGCCGUCUCACUGUGCUGCAUACAAUUACACACUACGUCGUACGAUUGAGACAAGGAAACUUGGAAUGACUUUUCAUAGGUUUCCCAGAGACUAUGGGUUGAGGAGGAAUUGGAAGUUUGUCGGCUUAGACCUGGUGUCAUUCCAUCAGUGUUAAACUUCCCGGCUCAUCUUGGAAGAGUACGUGCCAGAAAGACCACGACCAAGCAGCCUUGAGAUCUUAGGCAGCGUCUCCCUGAGGUCGCUGGUCGAAGCAGUUCGUAGAGUCGGGAAGCUUGGAGGAAAAUGAGACCAAAGAACUACAGACUCUUCACAACCUGCUCAAACUCUUGGUACAGGACCUCACCACACGGGUCAAGAAGGUUUCCGUCUCAUUUCUACUCUGAAGCUCACCUUCUCCUGCUCAAACUGCUGACAAAUGUUUCUGCUGCUCUAAAGUCUGGUCUCCAGAACUUCCUAAAAACUCUCAAAGUCUCUUCUGCUGC
Long non-coding RNA from Amphiprion ocellaris (clown anemonefish), 566 nucleotides. Lineage: Eukaryota; Metazoa; Chordata; Actinopteri; Pomacentridae. The record is from Ensembl.